Molecule: ribosomal RNA, 463 nt
Filed under: uncultured bacterium
Lineage: Bacteria
Description: partial 16S ribosomal RNA
Rfam family: Bacterial small subunit ribosomal RNA
Source: RNAcentral
ACGCACGCUGGCGGCGUGCUUCACCCCUGCAAGUCGAACGGAAAGGCCCUGCUUGCAGGGUACUCGAGUGGCGAACGGGUGAGUAACACGUGGGUGAUCUGCCCUGCACUUCGGGAUAAGCCUGGGAAACUGGGUCUAAUACCGGAUAGGAGCCAUUUUUAGUGUGAUGGUUGGAAAGUUUUUUCGGUGUAGGAUGAGCUCGCGGCCUAUCAGCUUGUUGGUGGGGUAAUGGCCUACCAAGGCGGCGACGGGUAGCCGGCCUGAGAGGGUGGACGGCCACAUGGGGACUGAGAUACGGCCCGGACGCCUACGGGAGGCAGCAGUGGGGAAUAGUGGACAAUGGGCGCAAGCCUGAUGAAGCGACGCCGCGUGGGGGAUGACGGCCUUCGGGUUGUAAACUCCUUUCGCUAGGGACGAAGCUUUUUGUGAGGGUACCGAGAUAAGAGGAACCGGCUAACUACGG